Molecule: non-coding RNA, 1870 nt
Organism: Macaca mulatta (Rhesus monkey)
Lineage: Eukaryota; Metazoa; Chordata; Mammalia; Primates; Cercopithecidae
Source: RefSeq, a predicted model, not a curated record
AGAGUUCUAAAUUCGCUUGGCGUUUGUAACUAAGGAAGUGAGGUCACUUCAAGAUUCCAUCACCUGGGCUCCUUCCUUUAACAAGACCGACCCACAGGCCCUGCUGGGCUCCUGACUGCUCACCCUCCUUUCCCAUGUAAACUCCUCCCUUGUCCACAAUCAUGAGAACACAGCCCCUAGCCCCUUUCUCAGCUUCCUGAGAAGAGCUGGAUAUGGUCUAGGACCCAGGCUUGAAACAGAUAUAGGUCAGAACAUCUUGUCUUACUAUUUCUGUGACCUUAGACAAGUCAGUGUGUGUUUCAGGACCUUCUCUGUCACCCAACAUGCACAAUGGCAACAAUGCUAGAAUCUUCUUCCUAGGAAACUCAUCAGGUGUAUAUGAGAAUCAGACCCAUGUGCCUCACCUUGAUACAUAAAGUGAGCAGCUGCAUAACCUCUUCCAGCAUGAAGAGGUUAGUGACUCACUUCUGACCAACAGAAUAAAACAAAUAUGGUAGGGUAACACCUCAAACUUCAGGUUGCCAUAGCAAAGAACCAUAGAUAGUAUGGCUGAUAAGCAGUGAAAUUUUAUUUCUUACAGUUGCAGAGUCUGGAAGUUGAAUAUCAGGAUGCCAGUAUGGUCGGCCUUUGGUGAGAACUCUUCCGAAUUGCCGACUGCAAACUUCAGGUUGUAUCCUCACCUGGUGGAGAACAAGAGAAAUCUCGCUGAGAUUUCUUUUAUAAAGCCAGUAAACCUAUUCAUGAGGACUUCAUCCUCAGGACCUAAUUAUCUUCUACCUCCUAAUAUCAUUACAUUAAGGGUUACAACUUCGAGAUAUAAAUUUGGGAGAAACUAGACCAUCAGUCUAUCAUGACUCCCAGGAUUAUAUACGAAAACAGUGUAAUUUCCCUUCUACUCAGUCAUGUGUUUGCUCCCUCAAUCUCUGUUCCUGUCUCUGUCUCUCUCUGGGUCUCUCUGUUGUAUUCUUCACAUUGCAGAAGCAAGCUCCAAUGUUGAUGUUAUGAGUUGCUCUGUGUAUGGGUCCACAUGGCAGAGAACUGAAGGAGUGACAAGGCCAAUAGACCAAGAAAAACUCAGGCUCUCAGUCUACACUGAAUUCUGCCAACAGCCACAAUAGCUUGAAAACAAAUUAUCCCUCACUUCAGCUUCAACCUCAUGAAAGAACCUGAGUCAGAGACACCCAACCAAGCUACGCCCCUAUUCUGGUUCCAACACAUUGUGAGAUAUUAAUUACUGGUUGUUUAAAGGUGCUAUGUUUUGGGGCACUGUUUUCAGAGAAGACCAGAUUACUACCCUCAUCUUUCAACCCCCAGGAUCCUUCCUCCCUCUGUUUCUCUUUCCCCAAGGCUCCCUCCAGUGAAACUGGCCUUUUGCUAUACAAAAUGCUUAAUUUUGGUAUAUGGAAGAAAACAGUCAGUUGUUUAGCCCAGAUAGUUGAGACAAAUGUCCAAAGAUACAGAAAAAUUAAAUCCAUUUUAUUUGUUUACCUUUAUUCAUGGUGAUCAUGAUUUCUUCCCGUCCAGGCCCAGUACUGAUUCCCUCAAAUGCCUCAUUGAAGAAAUACAAAAGUGAUAAUCCAGAAAAUCUAGUUUUUUCCAGCAUGUAAUCAUCAUGUUUAAAGUAAGGAGCAUGAAUCAGUGAGAAUGGGUUCUAUAUCUGCUUGAGGUGAGACAAGAAAAUGCUAAAAUUAUUAUAUUAUUUUAUCAAAUUUUUUGAACUAUCUGGUUUUGAUGUUUAGCUUGUCAUGUAUGCAGUAUAUUAAUAAGAUUAAAUAGACAUUCCGUUAAUAAAUGAUUGAACAUUUUUUUAGUUCCUGCCAAAACACUUUUUUUACUAAUACUCUUUACUAAUAAAGUUUUUCAUACUUUG